RNAcentral lists this ribosomal RNA (398 nucleotides) under uncultured bacterium. RNAcentral's name for it is "bacterial SSU rRNA". It matches the Rfam family "Bacterial small subunit ribosomal RNA", at positions 28 to 429 of the family's 1533-position model. The record is from RNAcentral.
GACGAACGCUGGCGGCGUGCUUAACACAUGCAAGUCGAGCGGUAAGGCCCUUUCGGGGGUACACGAGCGGCGAACGGGUGAGUAACACGUGGGUGACCUGCCCUUAGCUCUGGGAUAAGCCUAGGAAACUGGGUCUAAUACCGGAUAUGACUCCAUGACGCAUGUUGUGGGGUGGAAAGCCUUGUGCGGCUAGGGAUGGGCCCGCGGCCUAUCAGCUUGUUGGUGGGGUGAUGGCCUACCAAGGCGACGACGGGUAGCCGGCCUGAGAGGGCGACCGGCCACACUGGGACUGAGACACGGCCCAGACUCCUACGGGAGGCAGCAGUGGGGAAUCUUGCGCAAUGGGCGAAAGCCUGACGCAGCGACGCCGCGUGAGGGAUGACGGCCUCGGUUGUAAC